UACGUAGGGGGCAAGCGUUGUCCGGAAUCAUUGGGCGUAAAGAGCGCGUAGGCGGCCCUGUAAGUCCGCUGUGAAAGUCAAGGGCUCAACCCUUGAAUGCCGGUGGAUACUGCAGGGCUAGAGUCCGGAAGAGGCGAGUGGAAUUCCCGGUGUAGCGGUGAAAUGCGCAGGAUAUCGGGAGGAACACCUAUUGCGAAGGCAGCCUCGCUGGGACGUCACUGACGCUGAGACGCGAAGCGUGGGAGCAACAGG
RNAcentral lists this ribosomal RNA (252 nucleotides) under uncultured bacterium. RNAcentral describes it as "partial 16S ribosomal RNA". It matches the Rfam family "Bacterial small subunit ribosomal RNA", at positions 524 to 776 of the family's 1533-position model. The record is from RNAcentral.